GUAGCUCAGUGGUAGAGCACAUGCUUAGCAUACAUGAAGUCCUGGGUUCAAACUCCAGC
RNAcentral lists this transfer RNA (59 nucleotides) under Heterocephalus glaber (naked mole-rat). It matches the Rfam family "tRNA", at positions 7 to 64 of the family's 71-position model. Rfam says of the family: Transfer RNA (tRNA) molecules are approximately 80 nucleotides in length. Their secondary structure includes four short double-helical elements and three loops (D, anti-codon, and T loops). Lineage: Eukaryota; Metazoa; Chordata; Mammalia; Rodentia; Bathyergidae. The record is from Rfam by way of RNAcentral.